RNAcentral lists this ribosomal RNA (279 nucleotides) under uncultured bacterium. RNAcentral describes it as "partial 16S ribosomal RNA". It matches the Rfam family "Bacterial small subunit ribosomal RNA", at positions 506 to 784 of the family's 1533-position model. The record is from RNAcentral.
UGCCAGCCGCCGCGGUAAUACAGAGGUCCCGAGCGUUGUUCGGAUUCACUGGGCGUAAAGAGUGCGUAGGUGGUUAGGUAAGUUUGAUGUGAAAGCUCCGAGCUCAACUCGGAAAUUGCAUUGAAAACUGCUUGACUAGAGGGUCGGAAGGGAGACUGGAAUUUUCGGUGUAGCAGUGAAAUGCGUAGAUAUCGAGAGGAACACCAGUGGCGAAGGCGACUUCCUGGGCCAAUACUGACGCUGAGGUGCGAAAGCGUGGGGAGCAAACAGGAUUAGAUA